AAGAUUAUAUUUUCAGGGAUCCUUUCUACUAUUCCUUACUAGAGAAGUUUCUCUGUGUAGAGCACCAGAAAGCCUGAGGAGGACAUGUGGUAUUCCCUCCUGCGCAUGACAUGGCUCUUGGUGUUGCUUUGCUCCAUCUGCCACUUGCCAUUGAUAAUUGUUCUUGCUGUCCUUCAGGGGAGCUACAGAGAGAGGAUGCAGUCUGAGUG
Jaculus jaculus (lesser Egyptian jerboa) is the source of this 209-nucleotide small nucleolar RNA. Its record names the gene U3. It matches the Rfam family "Small nucleolar RNA U3". Rfam says of the family: Small nucleolar RNAs (snoRNAs) are involved in the processing and modification of rRNA in the nucleolus. There are two main classes of snoRNAs: the box C/D class, and the box H/ACA class. U3 snoRNA is a member of the box C/D class. The record is from Ensembl. NCBI's taxonomy places the organism in Eukaryota, Metazoa, Chordata, Mammalia, Rodentia, Dipodidae.